RNAcentral lists this ribosomal RNA (301 nucleotides) under uncultured bacterium. RNAcentral's name for it is "partial 16S ribosomal RNA". It matches the Rfam family "Bacterial small subunit ribosomal RNA", at positions 509 to 809 of the family's 1533-position model. The record is from RNAcentral.
CAGUCGCCACGGUAAUACGAAGGGUGCAGGCGUUAAUCGGAAUUACUGGGCGUAAAGCGUGCGUAGGCGGUUUGUUAAGUCUGCUGUGAAAUCCCCGGGCUCAACCUGGGAAUGGCAGUGGAUACUGGCAAGCUAGAGUGUGUCAGAGGAUGGUGGAAUUCCCGGUGUAGCGGUGAAAUGCGUAGAGAUCGGGAGGAACAUCAGUGGCGAAGGCGGCCAUCUGGGACAACACUGACGCUGAGGCACGAAAGCGUGGGGAGCAAACAGGAUUAGAUACCCGCGUAGUCCCUGUCUCUUAUAA